Molecule: ribosomal RNA, 429 nt
Filed under: Pseudomonadota bacterium
Lineage: Bacteria; Pseudomonadati; Pseudomonadota
Description: Proteobacteria bacterium partial 16S ribosomal RNA
Rfam family: Bacterial small subunit ribosomal RNA
Source: RNAcentral
UGGGGAAUAUUGGACAAUGGGCGAAAGCCUGAUCCAGCCAUGCCGCGUGUGUGAAGAAGGUCUUCGGAUUGUAAAGCACUUUAAGUUGGGAGGAAGGGCAGUAAGCGAAUACCUUGCUGUUUUGACGUUACCGACAGAAUAAGCACCGGCUAACUCUGUGCCAGCAGCCGCGGUAAUACAGAGGGUGCAAGCGUUAAUCGGAAUUACUGGGCGUAAAGCGCGCGUAGGUGGUUCGUUAAGUUGAAUGUGAAAGCCCCGGGCUCAACCUGGGAACAGCAUCCAAAACUGGCGAGCUAGAGUAGGGCAGAGGGUGGGGGAAUUUCCUGUGUAGCGGAGAAAUGCGUAGAUAUAGGAAGGAACACCAGUGGCGAAGGCGACCACCUGGGCUCAUACUGACACUGAGGUGCGAAAGCGUGGGGAGCAAACAGG